CUUAGUUUAGUAAAAUCUAACGCCAAGCUAUUGUGUAGCUUGGCGCUAACAUUCUCAACUGGUGGCAGUUUCCAGCAGAUACCUCUAUCCUAUCCUAUCCUAAACCUGCUGCAUGUUCCUUAGUAAUCUGUAUGUGUGUCCCUUAAAGGGUGAUUGUUAUAAAAGUCUUGUAAAGUAAGAAAAUAAU
Etheostoma cragini (Arkansas darter) is the source of this 187-nucleotide long non-coding RNA. RefSeq lists it as uncharacterized. Lineage: Eukaryota; Metazoa; Chordata; Actinopteri; Perciformes; Percidae. The transcript is spliced from 3 exons. The record is from RefSeq and is a predicted model, not a curated record.